AGAGUUUGAUCCUGGCUCAGAUUGAACGCUGGCGGCAUGCCUAACACAUGCAAGUCGAACGGCAGCAUGAGGUGUAGCAAUACACCUUGAUGGCGAGUGGCGGACGGGUGAGGAAUGCAUCGGAAUCUGCCCAAUCGUGGGGGACAACGCAGGGAAACUUGCGCUAAUACCGCAUACGACCUUCGGGUGAAAGCGGGGGACCUUCGGGCCUCGCGCGGUUGGACGGACCGAUGUGCGAUUAGCUAGUUGGUAGGGUAAUGGCCUACCAAGGCGACGAUCGCUAGCUGGUCUGAGAGGAUGAUCAGCCACACUGGGACUGAGACACGGCCCAGACUCCUACGGGAGGCAGCAGUGGGGAAUAUUGGACAAUGGGCGCAAGCCUGAUCCAGCAAUGCCGCGUGUGUGAAGAAGGCCUUCGGGUUGUAAAGCACUUUUAUCAGGAACGAAAUACCACGGGUUAAUAACCUAUGGGGCUGACGGUACCUGAGGAAUAAGCACCGGCUAACUUCGUGCCAGCCGCCGCGGUAAUAC
This 531-nucleotide ribosomal RNA is filed under the name uncultured bacterium. RNAcentral's name for it is "bacterial SSU rRNA". It matches the Rfam family "Bacterial small subunit ribosomal RNA", at positions 8 to 526 of the family's 1533-position model. The record is from RNAcentral.